UCUUACGUCCCCAUGGCAACCAACUCCCGGAACAGCCGAUGAAGAGCUUUGCUUCCUCAAUGCUGGAGAGGGAUGGGGUGGAUUUGAGACAUAUCAGGUAGGAUGCAGUGGACACAGGAUAUGCAUAAGAAGGAGGCAGCCCCGGGAACAGUAUCAUCCUGAUUCCUGCAUCCCAGCUCCAUCCUGCCUGCUGGGCUGUCAGUGCCGUUGAGCCAGCACUCCUUGCUCCAACACAAGUUUAUUGGAAAUGUGCAUCCCAAACACUGCUAAAACACAAGGCUCUGCAUUUUGAAGAGGAAUGUUUUUGGCUAAAAAGGGCUUGGAACAAAUGCAAUCCAGAGGCUCCUGGCUCAGCAGGAGGGGAGUUUUCAGGCAAAUCACAAGAGAAAAACUAACGUUUGAGGAGGGUGAAGUCUGUGCAGGAUCUCCCUGAGCUGCAGCCAUGCACAGCACAGGAGGAUCCACUUCAAAGAAAGGAGCCACUUCAUUGAAAAAGAGAACUAGGGCUUUUGAUAUCAAGAUAAACAUCCUGAUACACAUCAAA
This is a long non-coding RNA of Vidua chalybeata, 544 nucleotides long. RefSeq lists it as uncharacterized. The transcript has 4 exons. The record is from RefSeq and is a predicted model, not a curated record. NCBI's taxonomy places the organism in Eukaryota, Metazoa, Chordata, Aves, Passeriformes, Viduidae.